This 231-nucleotide ribosomal RNA is filed under the name uncultured bacterium. Its description in RNAcentral is "partial 16S ribosomal RNA". It matches the Rfam family "Bacterial small subunit ribosomal RNA", at positions 524 to 752 of the family's 1533-position model. The record is from RNAcentral.
UACGUAGGGCGCAAGCGUUAUCCGGAAUUAUUGGGCGUAAAGAGCUCGUAGGCGGUCUGUCGCGUCUGCUGUGAAAACUCAGGGCUUAACCCUGAGCUUGCAGUGGGUACGGGCAGACUAGAGUGCGGUAGGGGAGACUGGAAUUCCUGGUGUAGCGGUGAAAUGCGCAGAUAUCAGGAGGAACACCGGUGGCGAAGGCGGGGUCUCUGGGCCGUAACUGACGCUGGAGGA